GCUUCAUAUUGUAUUCUUCAACUUCGAUGCACAUAGAUGUUACUACUAUUAGUUAGUUUUGCCAUUGCACAGCAAAAAAUUAUCAUUUUAAAAAGGAGAUGAAGAAGGAGAAAGGUAAGGGAGGGGAGAUAGAAUGAGAGAGAGAGAUAGAUGGAAGAGAGAGAGAGGACAACGGGGGGCAUAAAGAUAUGUUAGGGCAAUUUCUAAUGUUCUUGUAGAUUUUUUUUGUGAAACAAUCUGUAACACUCUUAAUUUUUAAAUUUAUUAUUUU
Molecule: unclassified non-coding RNA, 271 nt
Filed under: Hevea brasiliensis (rubber tree)
Lineage: Eukaryota; Viridiplantae; Streptophyta; Magnoliopsida; Malpighiales; Euphorbiaceae
Source: RNAcentral